CAAGGCCUGCAUUGUCCUCUUAGGUUCCAAGGAAGUGGGUCCUGACCUGGAGAGAAAUGUCAUGGUACAUAACCCAGCCUUUUGUGUCUCAACAAGCCCUGGACAGGCUCCAGUUGAGUGACACGUGACCAGCUUUCGAGGGGACAGGACACAGAGCAAGCUCUGAAGGACCAGCAGUCAGGCCAUUGUCAUUCCUGCGCUCAGCACUUUCUACCUUCCAAUUUCUUCCUGUCUUCAGUGAUCUCACCGUUGUGCACUUUUCACGAAGACUGUAUCACAGAAAUGUGCCACUUCUCUUUAUUGUCUUCAUAGUAAAUAAAAUAAGAAUCCAUGUUCAUCAUGUCAAAGUAA
Hyaena hyaena (striped hyena) is the source of this 351-nucleotide long non-coding RNA. RefSeq lists it as uncharacterized. The transcript has 3 exons. The record is from RefSeq and is a predicted model, not a curated record. NCBI's taxonomy places the organism in Eukaryota, Metazoa, Chordata, Mammalia, Carnivora, Hyaenidae.